UUGGGUUGGCAAAAAAUUUUAUUUGGGUUUUUCCAUAAGAUCUAAGGAAAAACUCGAACAACCCUUUUGGCAAAUCCAAU
RNAcentral lists this microRNA precursor (80 nucleotides) under Ovis aries (sheep). Its description in RNAcentral is "miRNA (ENSOARG00000023528.1)". The record is from RNAcentral. Lineage: Eukaryota; Metazoa; Chordata; Mammalia; Artiodactyla; Bovidae.